Molecule: long non-coding RNA, 235 nt
Filed under: Setaria italica (foxtail millet)
Lineage: Eukaryota; Viridiplantae; Streptophyta; Magnoliopsida; Poales; Poaceae
Description: long non-coding RNA (SITA_LNC000857)
Source: RNAcentral
UAAGGCCCCGUUUGGAUCAUUGGAAUUGAAUUCCAUCAUAAUAAUCAUAAUUUAGACACAAAUUAAUUAAGCUAAUAUAAUUGUAUGUGGAAUAUAGUUGUAUAUUAUAGUUGGUGAUAUGGGAGAGAUACUUAUAUGCUGCACUUCUACUAUAGAGAAGCGAGUCUAAGAGCGUGCUAUAAGAAUUGAAUUCCAUUCUAAUAACCAUAAUCUAUAGAAUCAAUUUCCAUCUCCC